Molecule: ribosomal RNA, 459 nt
Filed under: uncultured bacterium
Lineage: Bacteria
Description: partial 16S ribosomal RNA
Rfam family: Bacterial small subunit ribosomal RNA
Source: RNAcentral
CCUACGGGUGGCAGCAGUGAGGAAUAUUGGUCAAUGGCCGGAAGGCUGAACCAGCCAAGCCGCGUGAAGGACGAAGGUGCCAAGCAUUGUAAACUUCUUUUGUCAAGGGACAAAAUCAGGCUCGAGGGCCUGACCGAGGGUACUUGAAGAAAAAGCAUCGGCUAACUCCGUGCCAGCAGCCGCGGUAAUACGGAGGAUGCGAGCGUUAUCCGGAUUUAUUGGGUUUAACGGGUGCGUAGGCGGACUGUUAAGUCAGCGGGAAAAGCCCGGGGCUCAACCCCGGCGAGCCGUUGAAAAUGGCUGUCUUGAGAUGUCGAGAGGUAUGCGGAAUGCGCAGUGUAGCGGUGAAAUGCUUAGAUAUUGCGCAGAACUCCGAUUGCGAAGGCAGCAUACCGGCGGCGAUCUGACGCUGAGGCACGAAAGCGUGGGUAUCGAACAGGAUUAGAUACCCUAGUAGUC